This 222-nucleotide ribosomal RNA is filed under the name uncultured bacterium. RNAcentral's name for it is "partial 16S ribosomal RNA". It matches the Rfam family "Bacterial small subunit ribosomal RNA", at positions 524 to 737 of the family's 1533-position model. The record is from RNAcentral.
CACGUAGGGGCGCAAGCGUUUGUCCGGGAAUUAUUGGGCGUAAAGAGCUCGUAGGCGGUCUGUUGCGUCCGCUGUGAAAACUCGGGGGCUUAACCCCGAGCCUGCAGUGGAUACGGGGCAGACUAGAGGUAGGUAGGGGGAGAAUGGAAUUCCCCGGUGUAGCGGUGAAAUGCGCAGAUAUCGGGGAGGAACACCGGUGGCGAAGGCGGUUCUCUGGGCCUU